GUUUAACAGGAAAGUUACUAUCCAGAAAUUAACCCACAAAGGUGGGAAGAGUAUUUACCCGCUAAUCUCUUUAUUCCCUCGCCUGACAAAAUAUCUGCAUUCCUGGGCGGCCUCAAGAAAUGAACUACAGACAUCUAUUCCCUUUGUGAUACCUCCUUGGAAUCAAAGUGUGGAGUGUAACAAUGUGCCUCCACACACUCACACUAGUUGAUGCUUCAUCUUGGUGAAAUCAAGUUUUUGGAAUUACCUUUCCUAAGAUCAUUCUAUUCACAGAGAAGGAGCUUAAUGUAAGUGAAAUUUUGUAAAAACCAAAGGAAACUAUGGUGGAUGUAUUCUAGACAGAAGAAGGAUUAAACCAAGAUAAAAACAAUGUGAAUGAGGAAAGUGGGAGUAACAGGGAUUCCAAGAGAAAGAUUUUCCAUUUGUCAAAAAUGAGGAGUACUAAUCAGUAGUGCUAUGGAAACAAGACACUAACAGUUAUAGUCCGGAAGAAGAGAUGAUAACAUCUGUCCCUAAAAAGAGAUGCUGUGAGAAUGGGUAGCCAUCGAAAGCAAUUCUGUUCAUCAGACAAGAGUUCUUGCUAUUUACACCACAUCUGCAGUGACUUCCUCCACUGAAGUAUUGAACCUUUAAAGUCAUCCAUGAAGGUUGAAAUCAACUUCUUCCAAACUCCUCAUAGGAUUGAUAUUUUGACCUCCUCCCAUAAACGACAAAUUUUCUGAAUGUCAUCUAAAAUGGCAAUUUUUUUCCAGAAGGUUUUCAACUUUGCCCAGAUCCAUUAGAGGAAUCACUGUAGCAGUUAUAUCCUUAAUAAAUGUAUUUGUAAAAUAAUAAUACUUGAAAGUCAAAAUUACUCCUUAACUGUGGGCUACAGGAUAGAUGUUGUGUUAGCAGUCAUGAAAAAAACAUUAAUCUCCUUGAACAUCUUCAUCAGAGCUCUUGGGUAACCAGGUGCAUUGUCAGUGACCAGGAAUAUUUUGAAAGGAAUUUCAAAAGGUCUCAACAGUAAGGCUUAAAAUAUUCAAUAAACCAUACUGUAAACAGAUGUGUUGUCAUCUAGGCUUUGUUAUUUCAUUUCUAGAACAAAUGCAGAGUAUAUUUAGCAUAAUUCUUAAGGACCCCAGUAUUUUCAGAAGGGCUAAUGUGUAUCGUCUUCAUCUUAAAGCCACCAACUGUAUUAGCUCCUAAAAAGAGAGUCAGCCUGUUCUUUGAAGCUUUGAAGCUAGGCAUUGACUUCUUCUCUCUAGCUACAAAAGUUCUAGAGGGCAUCUUCUUCCAAUAGAAGGCAUUUUGGUCUACAUUAGAAAUCUGUUGUUUAGUGUAGCCAUGUUCAUCAAUUAUCUUAGGCAGGAGAACUUCAGCUGGAGAACUUGCUGUAGCUUCUUGCACUUGCUUCACUUGCACUUUUAGGUUGGAGACGGUUUUAUAAAGAUAAUUUAUUUUCUUAAAUCCCAUGAAUCAACACCUACUAGCUUUAAACUUUUCUCUUCAGCUUCCUCACCACUCUCAGACUUCAUAGAAUUGAAGAGGUUAAGGCCUUGUUCUGGAUUAAGCUUUGGCUUAAGGAAAUGUUGUGGCUGAUUUGAUCAUUUUUAUUCAGACCACUCAAAAUUUCUCCAUUAAGCCAUAGGCUGUUUUGCUUUCUUAUAAUUUGUGUGUUCACUGGAGUCACACUUUUAUUUUUUAGAGACAAGUUCUUGCUCUAUUGCCCAGGCUGCAGUGCAGUGACACAAUCAUAGCUCACUGCAACCUUGAACUCCUGGGCUCAAGUGAUCCUCCUGCCUCAGCCUCCCAGGUAGCUGGGACUAUAGACAUGCACCACCAUACUUGGCUUAUUUUUUUUAAAUAAGUCUUCACUAUGUUGCCCAGGCUGGUCUUGAACUCCUGGUCUCAAGGAAUUUCCCCACCUUAGCCUCCCAAAACUCUAGGAUUACAGGCAUAAGCCACCACACCUGUCCUGGAGUAGCACUUUUAAUUUCCAUCAAGAACUUUUCCCUUGCAUCCACAACUUGGCUACUUGUUGCAAGAGGCCUAGCUUUCAGCCUAUCCUGACUUUCAACAUGCCUUCCUCACUAAGCUUAGUCAUUUCUAGCUUUUGAUUUAAAGUGAGAGCCAUGUGGCUCUUCCUUUCACUUGAACACUUCGAGUCCAUUGUAGAGCUAUUAAUUGCCCUAAUUUUUUUAUUGUUGUUUUAAUAUUUGCUACUACCACCAAGAUCUGCGCCUGCAGUGGCUCCACCCAGGCCCAUGUUCUAUUAAGGGACAUUGCAAUGGCCCUUCUACUCAUCUUGGCAUAGUGUCUUUAGGCUUGGGAGAUCUGAGCACUGCUCUGUCCUUCCUGCUCUAGUCCCUCUACUAGCAAUGGCUGCAUAUUGGCUCAACUCCUCAGCACCAUCCAUUUUCAGGGACAGUUGAGUAGUCAGUUGAGUUGUUAUACACUCCUUAGUGGAUUCUGACUUCCAUGGUCACUGUACUGUUGUAUAAUCAACUAUCCUAAUUUCAACAUUGUUGUGUCUCAGGGAAUAGGGAGGCCUGAAGUUAAGGAGAGACAUGGAGCAAUGAUCAAUCAGUUGAGCAAUCAAAACACACACAACAAUUAUCAAUGAAGUUUACUGUCUUAUAUGGGCAUGUUUUCUGGUGCCACAAAACAAUUACAAUAGUAACAUCAAAGGUCACUGAUCACAAAUCACCGUAACAGAUAUAAUAAUAGUGGAAGUUUGAAAUAUUGCAAGAAUUACCAAAAUGUGUCACAAAGACCUGAUGGACUUGCUAGAGGCAAGGCUGCCAAAAACUUUCAAUUUGUUAAAUAUGCAAAAUCUGCAUGGUAAAAUAAAGCAUAGCACAAUAAAAAGAAAUAUGCAUGUAUACACUAUUUAUAAUGUAUAUCCCUACAUAUAAUAUAUAUCAAUAUAUAAUAAAUGUACGUAUUGUUACAUAUUUGCAAAUAUAUAUGGUGAAAUAUAUCCAUGAGUUGCCAAAUCUGUUUUCACAACAUUAUGAACCUUCAAAAACAUGCCCAGCAAGGAGUCAUGAUGGCUGUGCAUACCCACGAACAGGGUUGAUUAGAAACAACUGUUUCAUUUACACAACACUGGGUCAUAUGACAAAUAAAUAACAGCAACCUGCCUAUUUUUAAAAUUUUGACAUCUUGCUUCUCAUGAAUUUUUUUAAUUUUUGAUUUUUUAAAUUCAUUGCCUUAACUAUUAUUUAGCCUGAUUACUGAGUUUUUGGCACCACUUUUAAAAAAAUAACUCAUUUAUUUUGAAAUGAUUUUCAUUGUAUAUAUUUAUGGGGUACAACAUGACUUUUUCAUAUAUGUAUACAUAAUGGAACAAUUAAUCAAAGUAAAUAACAUAUCUUCACCUCAUAAACAUCUUUUCUGUGGUUAGAACAUUUAAAAUCUACUUUCUUAGCACUUUUCAAGUAUGUAGCACAUUAUUAUUAACUAUAGUCACUCUGCUGUAUAACAAAAUAAAUGUCCAGAACUUAAUCAUCUUGUUUAACUGAAUCUUUCUAUAUUUUGACAAACAUCUGUCCUUGUUCCCAGCCUAUGAAAAGAAUACCCUACUCUUUUGAGUUCAACUUUUUCAGAUUCUACAUAAAAGUGAGAUCAUACAGUAUUUUUUUCUGUGCCUAGCUUAUUUUACUUAGCAUAAUAUCCUGCAGAUACAUCCAUAGUAUCUCAAAUAGCAAGAUACCCUUUUUUCUAAGGCUGAAUCUUAUUCCAUUGUGUGUAUCCGUCCCAUUUUCUUUAUCCAUUCAUCCAUCAAGAGAUAUUAUUUUAUUGUCAUAUCUUGGCUAUGAAUAAUAGUUCGCUAUUAAGAAUAAUGCUGCAAUGAACAUGAGGCUGUAGAUACCUCUGUGACAUAACUGAUUUCAUUUCCUUUGGAUAUACACACAGAAGUGGAAUUGCUGGAUUAUGUGGUAGUUUUAUUUUUAAUUUUUGAGAAACCUCCAUACUACUUUUCAUAAUGGCUAUACUAAUUUACAUUCCCACAAACAGUGUGCAAGGGUUCCCUUUUCUCUACAUAUUUGCCAAUAUUUGUCUUUUGUAUUUUAAUAAAUGCUAUUCUCACAGGUGUGAAGUGAUAGCUCAUUCACACCUGUGAAUUUGCAUUCCCCUGAUGAUUAGUGAUGUGAAAUAUUUUUUUUUUUGUAUACUUAUUGGCCUUUUGAUUCUCUUCUUUUGAAAAAUAUUUAUUAAAGUUCUGUGCCCAUUUUUUAAUCAGUUUGUUUGUUUUCUUGCAUAGAGUUGAGUUCCUUAUAUAUUUUUUAAAUUAACCCUUUAUCAAAUAUAUUGUUGGUAUAGUUUGAAUAUUUGUCCCCACCCAAAUUUCAUGUUGAAAUGUAAUCCCAGUGUUGGAGUUGGACCCUGGUAGCAGGUGUUUGGAUCAUUGGGGAGGAUCCCUCAUGAAUGGCUUGGGCCGUCUCUUUGGUGAUAAGUGAGUUCUGGCUCUGAGUUCACAUAAGAUCUGGUCAUUUACAACUGUACAACAGCUCCUGGCUACUCUUUCUCUCACUUGCCACUGCCGUAUGGUGUUCCUACUCCCCCUUUGCCUUCCACCAUGAUUGUAAGCUUCCUGAAGCCUCCCCAGAGGCUGAGCAGAUACCAGCACCAGGCUUCCUGUAAAGCCUGCAGAACUGUGAGCCAAUUAAAUCCUUUUUCUUUAUAAAUUACCCAGUCUCAGACAUUUCUUUAGAUCAAUGUGAGUGAGCUAAUACAAUGGUUUACAAAUACUUUCUCUUGUUAAACAGGUUGUCUCAUGAAUAGCUUGUUGAAUGUUUCCUUUGGUGUGCAGAAGCUCUUUAGUUUGAUGUAAUCCCAUUGCUUUAUUUUUCCUUUUGCUGUCUGUGCUUUUGUGAUAAUAUUCAAUAAAUCUUUGCUAAUACCAAUAUCAUGGAGCUUUUCCUCUAGUUUUUG
RNAcentral lists this long non-coding RNA (4920 nucleotides) under Homo sapiens (human). RNAcentral describes it as "HSALNT0191586". Lineage: Eukaryota; Metazoa; Chordata; Mammalia; Primates; Hominidae. The record is from RNAcentral.